GAUCUCGAAAGAUGCGCAUGCGUUUAAGGGAGUAGACAUUAUUCAGUCUGAUCAUUAUGGCUUUUUUCUUUUUUCUUUCUUUAUCAACGUGUUUAAUAUCCACAUUUUUGGCGUGAAAUAAUGACCGAAACAUAUUUCUUUUUAUAGUUGAACAAUUCGAACUUUCAAAUAUGUAAACAUAAAGUGAAAUUACUUCUGAUAAGAGAACAUCUUUAAUGUACGAUCGCUAAACACCGGUAAAUCCAAAUGAAAAAUUGGUAGACAUGUGUGUGUGUGCUUAAGGAUGAAUCAUCGAUUUGCUAUUAAAGAAGGAUCAAUUAAGGAUAUUAUUAAUGCAAAGGUAUCUUUAUAGUAUCUAUGGAAAUAUCACGAGAAUUUCAUACUGUAUAAUUAAGUUUAUCUAUUGAAGAAACUUUGUAAUAUGAAAUUAACUGAAAGUGGCAAUACUGUAAGAGCAUAUUAAUGAUAAUGUUGAAUCUCGUUGAAUGAUUAAUUAUUUUUAAGGGAUAAUUUUGAAAGAAAAAACAUAUAAUGAUAGUACUUCUAUGCGAUUUAACAGAAUCAUUUGAUACGUUCAUAAUGUUGUUGAAAGAUCAUUAUAAAAAUGAGCUUACUUUGGAAUUAGACAAAUUAAUAGAUAAAAAAGUUUCGAGAAAGAAUCAUUUAAGGUAUAGCAUGAAAAAAUCCGACGAUAUAACGUUGUAUAUAUUAAGAAAUCAAGCACAAUAUAUAAUCAGGUGUAAGGAAAUAAAGGAUAAAUUCUACAGUAAUUUAGUCGUCGUAUGUUACUUUCAUAAUAAUUUAGGACAUAUAAAGAGGUUAUGUCGAAUGUAUAAUAAAUGGAAGGAGAAAAGUUGAAAGGAAAAAGAUCAGUUAAGUUAUAGGUUAUGAUAAUGUAUGUGUGUCUUCAUGAUCAUAAAUAUCGUUCAAACGAUCUAGAUUGAUUCAGGAACAUAUAUCAAUUGAAAGAUACAAAUAAUGCUUUAUUAGCAAUAACAAGACAACAUUCUAUAAAUUGUUAACACAUGUGAAAGUUAGGAUAUAAGGACUACGAUAAGACUACGAUAAGGACAAUUCAUGCAUUGGUAUUCAAGACCGUAGUUAAAAAGAUUACUAUGAAGAACUAAAUGAUCAAGGAGAUCUGCUAUGGUACAUAUCUGAGAAGGAUAAUAAUCAAGAAAGCUUUUCCACAAAAAUCUGUAAGUAAGUUUGAGUCCAUACUAAAGUACAGAUGUUUGCGAAAACAUUGGAAACAAUGAGAUCAAAUCAAAAUCUAACAUUGAUCAAUGAUUAUGGUAGAUAUAGAUUAUGGUAGAUCUUAAGACUUUUGGAUUGGAUAAAGGUACAGAGUAUAUCAAUAAAGGUUUAAAAGAUUUCUUUGAGAAGAAAUUGUAGUCAAAGGAAAAAAAUAGAUCUCUUUUGGAAAUGUUUAUAAAUUGAUGCCAAAAUUAAGGAAAAAAUAUCGGGGAGAGGAGGGGAAGACUAUCAAUUUUUUCAACUAUUUGCAAAACAUUCAUUAAAUCUACAGGAAUAAUAUCUCAAUGGAGAAAUGGAUUAGAAUGAAAUGAUUUCAAUAAACAUUAUAAAAGAUAUUGUCUUUUGAAUAUGAACAGAAUAAUUAUAAGUCAUGAUCUGAUAUUUAUGGAUUCAUUUAAUAAAGGAUAACAAUGAAAUAACAAUAAGUCUUCUUAAUGCUAUUCCAUCCUAUAUAGAAAUGAAUGAUUAAGAAAAAGCCAAAGACCACAUUGAAGAUAAAAAAGAAGACUAUAUCAAAGAUGAAAUUGUGUGACAUUAAAGAAUAGGAGCAAACUACAAAAAUUAUAUAUCAAGAAUACAGACAGUUCAGUUCAGACAAUUUUGUAAGAUACACUCAUACCAUGAACUGAUAAGUGGUUUAAUAUAUCUACCAAUUGUGCCUACACCUGACAUAUUAUGCAGUAAGUUAUUUAAAUCAAUAUUAAUUGAUACAGGAGAUCACAUUGGAAAACAGCUAAAAGAAUACUUAAAUGUAUUAAAGGCAUUGAUCAUUAUUUUAUAUCUUAUCAAUCAGGUUCUAUUUCAUGGGAAUUAAGAAAGCAAUGGACUGUUGCUUUAUCAACUAAGGAGACAGAAUACAUGGUGAUUACAAGUGCUAUUAAAAAGGAACUUUUAAGGAACUGGAAUUAGUUAUCAAAUCUGACGUCACUAUUUAUAAUGAUGAUCCAAGAGCAUUGAAAUUCUCAAGGAAUUUAAUAUGCCAUGGGAAAUUCAGGUUACAGUAUUUAUGUACGAAAAAUAUGAUUGCCCAAGUUUUAAUCAAAGCAUUAAACAUUUCAAAACAUAUCAAGUGUUUUAAAAGGUUUACAUUUAAUUAGUUAAGUUCUUUUAGCGUUCAAUUUAAAAGAUAGUAUUGAAUGUAUAAAUUAAAUAUGAACGUGAAAAUUUUUAUACACUUGACAUCCUGUUGU
Vespa mandarinia (Asian giant hornet) is the source of this 2447-nucleotide long non-coding RNA. RefSeq lists it as uncharacterized. The record is from RefSeq and is a predicted model, not a curated record. NCBI's taxonomy places the organism in Eukaryota, Metazoa, Arthropoda, Insecta, Hymenoptera, Vespidae.